GACGAACGCUGGCGGCGUGCUUAACACAUGCAAGUCGAGCGGUAAGGCCCUUUCGGGGGUACACGAGCGGCGAACGGGUGAGUAACACGUGGGUGACCUGCCCUCAGCUCUGGGAUAAGCCCGGGAAACUGGGUCUAAUACUGGAUAUGACUCCACGGUGCAUGCCGUGGGGUGGAAAGCCUUGUGCGGCUGAGGAUGGGCCCCGCGGCCUAUCAGCUUGUUGGUGGGUGAUGGCCUACCAAGGCGACGACGGGUAGCCGGCCUGAGAGGGCGACCGGCCACACUGGGACUGAGACACGGCCCAGACUCCUACGGGAGGCAGCAGUGGGUAAUCUUAGCGCAAUGGGCGAAAGCCUGACGCAGCGACGCCGCGUGAGGGAU
This 381-nucleotide ribosomal RNA is filed under the name uncultured bacterium. RNAcentral describes it as "bacterial SSU rRNA". It matches the Rfam family "Bacterial small subunit ribosomal RNA", at positions 28 to 409 of the family's 1533-position model. The record is from RNAcentral.